RNAcentral lists this small RNA (17 nucleotides) under Arabidopsis thaliana (thale cress). RNAcentral describes it as "ATSL139530". Lineage: Eukaryota; Viridiplantae; Streptophyta; Magnoliopsida; Brassicales; Brassicaceae. The record is from RNAcentral.
UAAAAAAUAUCCCUUCU